AGUCUUGUAGCUCAAGUGGCUAGAGCGUUGGCUGUAAUAAAGCCUUCUGCUUUUUGUCGUGGGUACGAAUCCCACCGAGGCCA
Molecule: transfer RNA, 83 nt
Filed under: Schistocephalus solidus
Lineage: Eukaryota; Metazoa; Platyhelminthes; Cestoda; Diphyllobothriidea; Diphyllobothriidae
Rfam family: tRNA
About the family: Transfer RNA (tRNA) molecules are approximately 80 nucleotides in length. Their secondary structure includes four short double-helical elements and three loops (D, anti-codon, and T loops).
Source: Rfam by way of RNAcentral